CCUACGGGAGACAGCAGUGGGGAAUUUUGCGCAAUGCUCGUAAGAGUGACGCAGCGACGCCGCGUGAAUGACGAAGGCCUUCGGGUCGUAAAGUUCUUUCGACAGGGAAGAAAAUGCCUAUAAGUAACUGUGUAUGUAUUGACGGUACCUGUAUAAGCAGACCCGGCUAACUCCGUGCCAGCAGCCGCGGUAAUACGGAGGGGGCGAGCGUUGUUCGGAGGGACUGGGCGUAAAGAGCACGUAGGCGGUGUUGUAAGUCAUUAGUCAAAGACUAGAGCUCAACUUUAGUAAGGCUAGUGAUACUAUAAUACUAGAGUAUCAGAGAGGAUUGCAGAAUGCCUGGUGUAGCGGUGAAAUGCGUAGAUAGCAGGAGGAAUACCGUUAGCGAAGGCAGCAAUCUGGCUGGAAACUGACGCUGAGGUGCGAAAGCGUGGGUAGCAAACAGGAUUAGAUACCCUGGUAGUC
This 465-nucleotide ribosomal RNA is filed under the name uncultured bacterium. RNAcentral's name for it is "partial 16S ribosomal RNA". It matches the Rfam family "Bacterial small subunit ribosomal RNA", at positions 338 to 795 of the family's 1533-position model. The record is from RNAcentral.